Molecule: non-coding RNA, 2075 nt
Organism: Salvia hispanica
Lineage: Eukaryota; Viridiplantae; Streptophyta; Magnoliopsida; Lamiales; Lamiaceae
Source: RefSeq, a predicted model, not a curated record
UAUAAAUGUCACAUUUAACUUUUAUAUUGUGAUAAAUGAUAAUAACAUCUCAUAAUUCUAUAUUCUGAUUUCGGCUUGGUUUGCUUCAAAGUUGAGCGAGAGAUAUAUUUGGGCGUUUCCUCUAUCUCCAUUGUUAAAGAUUGUUUUCAGGAAGCAAAUUUUUACAAGUUUGCUUCAAAUGCUAGUUUCUGCAACUGCAACGUCGGGAUUGCCAUGAGAUGAUUGGCCCUUGAAACAACAAGGCCAAAUUCCUCAUUCAUGUCCAGUUCCUCUGGCAACUUAUCAUUUGGCAGCUGCCAAUCGAAGCGUUGGACUAACUGUGACACGAUCAGUCGAAGUUGGAUGAGCCCCAGUUGGAUUCUGGGGCAACCUCUCCUCCCAGACCCAAAUGGUAGGAGCUGGAAAUGCUGUCCCUUAACAUCAAUGUCACUUCCAGUGAACCUUUCCGGAAUGAACAUUUCCGGAUCAGUCCAUACAUUUGGAUCACGUCCAAUUGCAUAGGCGUUUACGAGUAUUCUUGAAUCUUUUGAUAUGUCAUAGCCAUUAACCUUGCUGUCUUCCCUAGAAUAGUGAGGAACCAACAGCGGAACCGCUGGAUGCAGCCUAAAGCCUUCCUUUACAAACACUCCUCAACCAUCCUCUUCAAUCCCACAACUUGUUCCAACUCUUUCUGUAGUUUCUUCAUAACUGUUGGAUUUCUCAACAGGUCGGAGAAUAUCCACUCAACCGAUGCUGCUGCUGCGUCCAUUGAAGCUGUGAGCAAGUCCUGCAAAUGAAAUUCGUCAUCAACUUAUUGCUGAGCAAAUGUAUAUCCAAAAAAGAUGUAGAAUUAUUCAUUGGACCAUGUGCUUACCAUCAUAAUGGCCUUGAUAUUACGUCUGUCGAACUGAAAUUCAGAUUCUCCACUUUGCAUUAUGGACAUCAUGGUAUCAACAAUGUCUUUGGCCUGCUCAGGACGAUCCCCUGCUCGAGCAUGGUCUUCUAUAAUUUUCUCAAAAAAUCAUCAAAAACUUUUGCGAGUGCCUUCAUCUUCCUUGUCAUCCCUUGGAGAUCCAAAACUCCAAGGAAAGGAAAGUAAUCACCCAAAUUGGGAACUGCUACUAGUUUAGUCCAUUCUUGGAUCACAGUUUUGAAGCCUCUCUCAUCUAUGUCCUUGUCAGCAUAUUUCUUGCCAAACACUAGUCUGCAGCUCAUCUCUGCGGUCAGGGACGCGACCUUGGCACUAAGAUCAACCGCAACGUGUUGUCGGGAUGCUUCCUUGAGGGAUUCAACAAAAUGAGCAAGCGUCUCCCUUCUCAUAGGCCGGAAAGAAUUGAUCUUAAGGGGGCUGAGCAGCUCCACGGUGCAUAGCUUGCGCAUGUUCCGCCAAUACGGACUGUAAGCCCCAAAUGCCAGAUUCCUCUGAUCCCAUGAGAGAUACUUAGCAGCCUGAUGAGGUGGUCUGCUGGCAAAAACAAGAUCGUGUGUUUUGAGGAAAAGCUCAGCUGCCUCAGGAGAUGAAACGACGAUGAUUGGAACGAACCCAAAUCGCAUGUACAUAAUGGGGCCGUGGUCUUUGGCAAUCCUUUGCAGAUCUUGGUGAGGAUUCUUCCCCAGCAUGUGUAGAUUUCCCAGAAUAGGGACCCCUUUUGGACCUGGAGGCCGCUUCUUCUUCGUCCUCGUAGCCAACGAAGCCAAAGAACCAGCUAAAAUGGCCACGACCGAAAGCCAAAACCAAGAGGGUAAAUCCAAGUCCAACGACGGUGUAACGCCAACGCCGCCGAGCACGCCUUCUGGAGUCCUCAAGCAGAACACUUCCGAGAAGCGGCGGCCGCCUGUUGGUACGGCGGAAAGCGUGGGCAGCCUUACCCCCAAAUCUGACGCUAUAAAGGUGAAACUCCAUAACCAAGCACAAUUUGUUCAUGCCGAUGAGGUAUCUACUCCCAAUUCGGCUAAGCAACAGAGAUAACGAUCAAGAUUUCCUUGCUGCCAGGGUCAGGCUGAGUAGUGUCAACAACAAAGAAAAACUAAAUAAUUGAAUCCAAUAGUUUAGGAAUUAGUAGGAUUUUGUUUUUUUCUUUUUUUUUUUUCCUUUU